AGUGGCGAACGGGUGAGUAACACGUGGGCAACCUGCCCAAAAGAGGGGGAUAACACUUGGAAACAGGCGCUAAUACCGCAUAACCAUAGUUACCGCAUGGUAACUAUGUAAAAGGUGGCUAUGCUACCGCUUUUGGAUGGGCCCGCGGCGCAUUAGCUAGUUGGUGGGGUAAAGGCUUACCAAGGCAAUGAUGCGUAGCCGAACUGAGAGGUUGAUCGGCCACAUUGGGACUGAGACACGGCCCAAACUCCUACGGAAGGCAGCAG
Molecule: ribosomal RNA, 266 nt
Filed under: uncultured bacterium
Lineage: Bacteria
Description: partial 16S ribosomal RNA
Rfam family: Bacterial small subunit ribosomal RNA
Source: RNAcentral